UACGUAGGGCGCAAGCGUUGUCCGGAAUUAUUGGGCGUAAAGAGCUCGUAGGCGGCUUGUCACGUCGGGUGUGAAAGCCCGGGGCUCAACCCCGGGUCUGCAUUCGAUACGGGCUGGCUGGAGUGUGGUAGGGGAGAUCGGAAUUCCUGGUGUAGCGGUGAAAUGCGCAGAUAUCAGGAGGAACACCGGUGGCGAAGGCGGAUCUCUGGGCCAUUACUGACGCUGAGGAGCGAAAGCGUGGGGAGCGAACAGG
Molecule: ribosomal RNA, 253 nt
Filed under: uncultured bacterium
Lineage: Bacteria
Description: partial 16S ribosomal RNA
Rfam family: Bacterial small subunit ribosomal RNA
Source: RNAcentral